GACAGAGGAUGCAAGCGUUAUCCGGAAUGAUUGGGCGUAAAGAGCUCGUAGGCGGUUUGUCGCGUCUGCCGUGAAAGUCCGGGGCUCAACUCCGGAUCUGCGGUGGGUACGGGCAGACUAGAGUGAUGUAGGGGAGACUGGAAUUCCUGGUGUAGCGGUGAAAUGCGCAGAUAUCAGGAGGAACACCGAUGGCGAAGGCAGGUCUCUGGGCCGAUACUGACGCUGAGGAGCGAAAGCGUGGGGAGCGAACAGG
This 253-nucleotide ribosomal RNA is filed under the name uncultured bacterium. RNAcentral's name for it is "partial 16S ribosomal RNA". It matches the Rfam family "Bacterial small subunit ribosomal RNA", at positions 524 to 776 of the family's 1533-position model. The record is from RNAcentral.